This 359-nucleotide unclassified non-coding RNA is filed under the name uncultured Leotiomycetes. Its description in RNAcentral is "sequence contains ITS2". The stretch from base 1 to 154 matches the Rfam family "5.8S ribosomal RNA". Lineage: Eukaryota; Fungi; Ascomycota; Leotiomycetes. The record is from RNAcentral.
AACUUUCAGCAAUGGAUCACUUGGUUCUGGCAUCGAUGAAGAACGCAGCGAAAUGCGAUAAGUAAUGUGCAUUGCAGAAUUCAGUGAAUCAUCGAAUCUUUGAACGCACAUUGCGCCUUUUGGUAUUCCGAAGGGCAUGCCUGUUCGAGCGUCAUUAUAACCACUCAAGCCUAGCUUGGUCUUGGGGUUCGCGGUCUCGCGGCCCUUAAAAUCAGUGGUGGUGCCACCUGGCUCUAAGCGUAGUAAUUCUCUCGCUACAGGGUCUAGGUAGUUACUUGCCAUAAUCCCCCUCUCUUACGGUUGACCUCGGAUCAGGUAGGGAUACCCGCUGAACUUAAGCAUAUCAAUAAGCGGAGGCU